AGCGAACGCUGGCGGCAGGCUUAACACAUGCAAGUCGAGCGGGCAUCCUUUUCGUGUCAGCGGCGGACGGGUGAGUAACGCGUGGGAACGUGCCCUUCGGUCCGGACUAACUCAUGGAAACUUGAGCUAAUACCGGAUACGCUCCUUUGGGGAAAGGUCUACUGCCGAAGGAUCGGCGCGCGUCUGAUUAGCUAGUUGGUGAGGUUAUGGCUCACCAAGGCGACGGUCAGGAGCUGGUCUGCGAGGAUGAUCAGCCAGACUGGGACUGAGACACGGCCCAGAAUCCUACGGGAGGGAGCAGUGGGGAAUACUGGACACGGGAGGCAAAUCUGAUCCAGCCAUGCCGGGGGAGUGAUGCCGGCCUUAGGGUUGUAAAGCUCUUUUCUCCGGGACGAGAGUGACGGUACCGGAGGAAUAAGCCCCGGCUAACUUCGUG
Molecule: ribosomal RNA, 436 nt
Filed under: uncultured bacterium
Lineage: Bacteria
Description: partial 16S ribosomal RNA
Rfam family: Bacterial small subunit ribosomal RNA
Source: RNAcentral